AAACUUUCAACAACGGAUCUCUUGGUUCCCGCAUCGAUGAAGAACGCAGCGAAACGCGAUAGUUAAUGUGAAUUGCAGAAUUCAGUGAAUCAUCGAGUCUUUGAACGCACAUUGCGCCCAUCGGUAUUCCUUUGGGCAUGUCUGUUUGAGCGUCAUU
RNAcentral lists this ribosomal RNA (157 nucleotides) under Orbilia auricolor. RNAcentral's name for it is "5.8S ribosomal RNA". It matches the Rfam family "5.8S ribosomal RNA". From Rfam's summary of the family: 5.8S ribosomal RNA (5.8S rRNA) is a component of the large subunit of the eukaryotic ribosome. It is transcribed by RNA polymerase I as part of the 45S precursor that also contains 18S and 28S rRNA. Functionally, it is thought that 5.8S rRNA may be involved in ribosome translocation. Lineage: Eukaryota; Fungi; Ascomycota; Orbiliomycetes; Orbiliales; Orbiliaceae. The record is from RNAcentral.